MicroRNA precursor from Sorghum bicolor (sorghum), 109 nucleotides. It matches the Rfam family "MIR5565 microRNA precursor family". Lineage: Eukaryota; Viridiplantae; Streptophyta; Magnoliopsida; Poales; Poaceae. The record is from Rfam.
GUUGUCGUAUUUACUUUAAUCCACGUGUGUUGGUGUGGAUUGGAGUGGAAUUUAGUUCAAGUUCCACUCCAAUCUACCUCAACACAUGUGGAUUGAUGUGAAUACGAUU